This is a long non-coding RNA of Daphnia pulex (common water flea), 1916 nucleotides long. RefSeq lists it as uncharacterized. The transcript is spliced from 4 exons. The record is from RefSeq and is a predicted model, not a curated record. Lineage: Eukaryota; Metazoa; Arthropoda; Branchiopoda; Diplostraca; Daphniidae.
UCAUAUUUUUUUUAAUUCUCCAAUUCUAGUCAAUUUAGUCAUAAGUAUUUUGUCGUGUAUUUAUCGUGUAUUUAUUCUAGUCAUUUACAUUUAGGGAUUAUCUACCGGGAACAAAUUUUGCAAAUUACCAAGAUUUCGUCCAGGAAUCACUACAACCGGGGGGUGGGGUAUACCCCCACGUUGUCCAAAUUGAACUAGACAACAUCAUCAAGAAAAAAUUCUGGGUUAAAAAAGAGUAUACUUAUCCUAAGGGAAAUGAGUAUGCUUGUACAUUGCUGGUGUUUUUACCAGGCUUAAAAUACAAGGUCACAGUAAUUGAUUGCAUUAAGGACUACGCUAUCACGGAUGCCUACCUCAAGAUAUUUGAACUCCUUUAUCGAUUUGGAAAAAUACUCGUUUCAUUUUUCGCCAGCAAUUAAAAAGUGAAUGACAAUGCCGGGGAACAUAGGAGAGAUUUUGGGAUCGUAAUCAGCAACGGUUCCGACGAAAUCUUUAAUAGAGGGUGUUUGUACAGUCGGGACACAAGGCGUGGGCAUGCGGGAUCUGCAAUCAACGUGACAAGUUCCUCUACAUUCGACACACUUCAAGGCGGGCUUGCCAAAUUUAAUCCUACGCAAUAAGAGGUUUCACUAAUUAAAUUAAAGCCCAGCACAUUUCCCAACGAAAAGAAAAGACAACACAACUCAUCUAUUGCCAUACUUACCAUACUUAUUGUCAUAGUAUAUAAAAGAUUCCCUUGGAGGCCUAUAUAGCAAAGGCACCUGCCUGGCAAAGGCAGGCGCUUUUGUUAUAUAUUCAAGCCUCCCUUGGACAAGACACGAAAGGACAAGACAGUAAAUCCCUACAAACAGGUUUACAGACCACCGGCCAACAACACAGUGGGGGUUUACCUUGUGGAGGACGAAAGGGAGGAGGAAGAUGAAGAUGAAGAAGAAGUGGAAGUUGGUUUGUCUAAGGCUGUGGACCAAGGACAGGGAUUGUGUGGAUAAAUUGCGCCGGAUCCUUUUGACCAAACUGUAAGUUGCUUUUAUCUGAAUUAUUAGUUAGACUGAUUUAUUUAAAAAAAUAAAAAAUAAAAAUCAACUAAAUUUCUCUUCAAUUAGGUUCGCGCUGGCAAAAAAGGAGGAAGAGGAAGCAAAGGAACCCCUGACCCUGCUACUUUAAGAGGAAUUGAUGGCUAAGCCGGACCACCUGGAGAAGUCGGUUCUUGUAGACCUCGCGGACUGCCGAAGGGGGCUGGUGCAGGAGAAGGGGCUGGAGGAAUUAGAAAACAAAGAGAGAAGGCGAGGCCAUCAUUGACAGUUGAGGAUUUUAAAAACGAAAACCAAUCAAUGGUGGCCAACAAGGAAAUGGGAAGGCAAGUUAGAUUUCAGUGGCAGCAAAUCUUUCUGGUCGGCUGCCUUACGUCUAAUGGCAGCCAACGCCAAGAAGAAGAGGCAAAUGAAAUUUCCGCACUAUGUUAUUGACGUGGAAUUUUCGCUGUUCCCCAAGGACAGCCCGGAUAAUUUGUGGUAUUUACCGAAUUUGCGGAAAACUUUCUUCGCAUAUCUAACUGAAGAUUAGCAGCUGCAGACCAUGCUGGCAUUAACGUUUCCCAGAUCUUCCUCGGUCAGUUAGGGAGUUUCUCUAGCUGGCACGUAGAAUACCUGAACUUAAACUAUCUUCAUAACGUUUCAUCAUUAUAACCCAAAACGAAUAAGAAAUUUAUGCAAUCCUUCAUGAACAUUUGCAAUUAAUUAUCCUUUUAUAUUUCUUCGAAUAUCCCAAUUAUCCCCACAUUAUUAGUUUUAAAUUGAUAUUAUCUCCAAUAUUUUAAUUCGUAAAUAUUUGUGUAGUUUUCUAUGCAGAAUUAACACAAAUAUAUUAAGAACGAAAUAAAUUGUGUAUUUGCUAGACCAGAGAUUCAAAACCAACUG